GCCUGGGUGGCUCAGUCGGUUGAGCGUCCGACUUUGGCUCAGGUCAUGAUCUUGCUGUUUGUGAGUUCAAGCCCCACGUCAGGCU
Transfer RNA from Felis catus (domestic cat), 85 nucleotides. It matches the Rfam family "tRNA". From Rfam's summary of the family: Transfer RNA (tRNA) molecules are approximately 80 nucleotides in length. NCBI's taxonomy places the organism in Eukaryota, Metazoa, Chordata, Mammalia, Carnivora, Felidae. The record is from Rfam.